This 426-nucleotide ribosomal RNA is filed under the name uncultured bacterium. Its description in RNAcentral is "bacterial SSU rRNA". It matches the Rfam family "Bacterial small subunit ribosomal RNA", at positions 356 to 773 of the family's 1533-position model. The record is from RNAcentral.
AGGGAAUCUUCCGCAAUGGACGAAAGUCUGACGGAGCAACGCCGCGUGAGUGAAGAAGGCCUUCGGGUCGUAAAGCUCUGUUGCCGGGGAAGAACAAGUAUCGUUCGAAUAGGGCGGUACCUUGACGGUACCUAACCAGAAAGCCACGGCUAACUACGUGCCAGCAGCCGCGGUAAUACGUAGGUGGCAAGCGUUGUCCGGAAUUAUUGGGCGUAAAGCGCGCGCAGGCGGCUUCUUAAGUCUGAUGUGAACUCUUGCGGCUCAACCGCAAGCGGUCAUUGGAAACUGGGAGGCUUGAGUGCAGAAGAGGAGAGUGGAAUUCCACGUGUAGCGGUGAAAUGCGUAGAGAUGUGGAGGAACACCAGUGGCGAAGGCGGCUCUCUGGUCUGUAACUGACGCUGAGGCGCGAAAGCGUGGGGAGCAAAC